AGCGACCACAACGCUUUUCUACUUGUUGCUGCCCGUUCGAUCGGCGCGUUGAUAUUCUUCUAGUCAGUAAGUGACAGGUGGUCGGUGUCGUACAGCUAGCAAUGUCACAGAAGAGACUGAGGUACAGUACUGUCUCCCGCGGAGCAGUAUAAAUAUCUCAGGGUCUUGUUCACAAGUGAGGGGAGAAGGGGUGGACUGACAGAUCGGAGCAGACUGUGGACGUUUUACCACUCAGUCGUGGUGAGGAUGGCGCUGAGCCGACAGGCAAAGUUCCUACCGUCACCUAUGGCCAUGAACUAUGCGUAUUGACCGAAGCACUAGAUCGCAGAUAUGAGCGGCGGAAAUGAGUUUCGGGGUGUCUAGGCUCGGCCUUCGUGAAGGGGUGAGGAGCGAAGUCGAGGUGGUUCAGACAUUUGAUAGGAUGCCUUCUGGAUGCCAGUCUGGGGAGAUGUUUCAGGCAUGUCCAACUGGGAGGGGACAUCGUGGAAGACCAAGGAAUGAGUCGAUGUUCCCCUGGAGGAUUUGGAGCAGGUCACAGGGAAAUGAGAAGUCUGGGCGUAUUUGCUUAGACCACUGCCCCAAUGACCCAGACCAGAUUCGCUGCAGAAAAUGCAAGGAUGGAUAUAUAAUUUUAUCACGGAAAACGUGAAGGAAUUUUUCAGUCUGUAAUGAUCCGGUCAGAUGCAGGCUGACGUAGCUUAUUAACCACAUACAUACAACAUGGACUGCUGUGCUGUUAUGGCAAACAAGCACACACGUGUCAAACACACAGCAGGGCUAACGUAAUGUCGCCAGCUCACCUAAUCUGCAUGUCUUUGGAAACUGGGAGGAAACCGGAGCACCCGGGGCAAACCCACGCAGACACCGGAAGAACAGGCAAACUCCUUACUAUGGGGCAGCAGCGCAAACACUGCUGUGCUGUCUUGUGAGCCUGGAUGUCACAUUUCAAAAUGCUGAUAUAAGAAUUAGAAAACUUAAUAUCAACUUUUAAAACGCCGAUAUCUUGUCGUUAUCAAAUUUCAAAAACAUACAAUAUUAGCAGUUUGACUUUUGAUAUCAAGAAAAACGAUUACAUUCUGAAAAGGCUUCCUGCAAGCGUAUCCGUUGACAACAGCAGCGGCAGAUUACAGGCUGCCUUCUCCACCUCCUCUAAAUCCUAUUGGAUAGUCGUAGCAGCCUAUCGGGUUCUACUGCUGGGCGGUGCCGUCCCGCACCCUCUUCGCCCAUUGGGUGCAGUCAGACUCAGUUGAAAAUUAGUGGAAAACGGGCUCACCUGUGUGAGGGGGCGUCGCCUUCGGUCCUUCACAACAACCGGUCAGGCGAAACUCUAGGAGUUCUUUAAUGUUUUUGCUAAGAAUAUUAGUGGUUUUAAAAAAUAAGUAAAGUUUUGUUGAAGACAGGCGACGGUGACCUGCUAACUUUCCUACUUUUUAAACUUAAGCCAGAAGCAAGAAGAAUCCGGUUCACGUCAGGAACGCGAAACAGGUAAGUGUUGUUAUUAUUAUUAUUACUUUUAUUAGUUUGUGUUUAUUACAGUAAGUGAGUCAGAUGGAAUUCUGCAUCAUCGAGUGCGCUACUGUCGUUGUUGAAGCUGAAAGAAAUGGCUCGUCAGCACGGAAGAUAAGGUGACAGCCCACGCAGAGUUGUAACUGAGCAUAACAAUGUAAAACUGGAACAAAUGGACAAAUGUCGAGUCUUCUGACUGGCACGCAUUGUUUCAGUUACUUGGACGUAUGUGAUGUGCAUGGCAGGCAUGUCGUUUAGUUUUGAACUGAGAUUUCCUUCUGUUGAUGGCAAGAGGAGGAUUUGAACCCACCGCUGGUUCCAUCUUGGGCGGUGGGUUACCGGUGUUUAUCCUGCUGAGCUACUCUUUGGACUCAUUUCGUCGUUGGGCUUCAGUAUAUUUGACAACUGAUGUCCGUUGAUCCAUCACAUAAAAUAUAUUCUUUUUUGGUCGUCAUUCUUGCGGACCCCCUCUGCGACUCAGGGGUGCCCUUUGUUCUCUCCCAGCCCAGGUUGGUCUCGAUCGCGGGGCCGACUCGGUUUUGGUUGCUGGGGUCGAGUGCUUGUUUCGCUAUGCCACCGAGGGGUCCCCUUUAGAAGAAGGGUCUAGAAAUUAUUUAUACCGUUAACUCUUCGGUGGCCACAGCAAAUAAAGAGCCUGCUUUUUGUUUACGUUGCUUUUAUGACUUGGGGACAGACGCGAACCCGCACUCUUCUCGGCCGAAUGAGCGGUCUACCCGGUUGAGCUACCGAGUCUGUCUGUUUACUUAGCCGACCAGACGCAUUUAAUGUUAGCGAAAGGUCUGUGGACUCCUUAAAGAAAUAGGUGGACAUCUUAUCACAACUGGAGAGACCGGGGCCCGAACCUCUGCCAUUUACCGGGGUGGGCCUGAAUGAGCUCGCUCUACCUCGGUGAGCUACUCCUCCGGUUGGAAGUUACACGAAAUCUUUCAUAUCAUUGGCAGAAAGGAGGACGCUGCAAAUAAACAGAUAUUUGGCAUGUUAUUUGGAUGGUGGGCUUCAGCUCAGGUCUGCCCUUUUGACCAGGGUGGUCGAUGUGUUUCAUCCGUGUGGCCAUCUCGGCUAGCCCUCUUUUCACGGUGUUGCCCUGCCGGCCCCUUUAGCGGUGUAGCCUAUAAACCUUCAACCCCACCACAUAAAGAAUUUAAUAUCCAUCUUCUCAUGGUGGGACUCGAACUCCUAGAUCCCGUGCAGUGGUCGAGUAAUACCCAGUGGUCUACCCAUCUGAGCUACCACAGCCCACUCAGCAACUUGGCGACGAGUC
Polypterus senegalus (gray bichir) is the source of this 2788-nucleotide long non-coding RNA. RefSeq lists it as uncharacterized. The record is from RefSeq and is a predicted model, not a curated record. The transcript is spliced from 2 exons. Lineage: Eukaryota; Metazoa; Chordata; Cladistia; Polypteriformes; Polypteridae.